ACAUGCAAGUCGAGGGGUACAGGUUCCUUCGGGAAUGCUGACGACCGGCGCACGGGUGAGUAACGCGUAUGCAACCUUCCUGUAUCUGGAGGAUAGGCCUUGGAAACGAGGAUUAAUACUGCGUAACAUUAUAUUAUCGCAUGAUAAAAUAAUCAAAUCUACGGAGGAUACAGAUGGGCAUGCGUGCCAUUAGCUAGAUGGUAAGGUAAGGGCUUACCAUGGCGACGAUGGCUAGGGGUUCUGCAAGGAAGAUCCCCCACACUGGUACUGAGACACGGACCAGACUCCUACGGGAGGCAGCAGUGAGGAAUAUUGGUCAAUGGAGGCAACUCUGAACCAGCCAAGCCGCGUGAAGGAAGACUGUUCUAUGAAUUGUAAACUUCUUUUGUGACAGAGUAAAGAUAGCUACGCGUAGUUAUUUGCAAGUAUGUCAUGAAUAAAGCAUCGGCUAACUCCGUGCCAGCAGCCGCGGUAAUACGGAGGAUGCAGGCGUUAUCCGGAUUUAUUAGGCUUAAAGGGUGUUCAGGCUGUCUGGUAAGUCAGAGGUGAAAGUCGGUUGCUUAACGAUCGAAUUGCCUUUGAAACUGUCAGACUUGAGUAUGGAUGCGGUAGGCGGAAUGUGUAGUGUAGCGGUGAAAUGCAUAGAUAUUACACAGAACACCGAUUGCGAAAGCAGCUUACCAAACCAGCACUGACGCUGAAGCACGAAAGCGUGGGUAGCGAACAGGAUUAGAUACCCUGGUAGUCCACGCAGUAAACGAUGCUCACUCGCUGUUGGCAAUAGAUCGUCAGCGGCUAAGGGAAACCGAUAAGUGAGCCACCUGGGGAGUACGAUCGCCAGAUUGAAACUCAAAGGAAUUGACGGGGGCCCGCACAAGCGGUGGAACAUGUGGUUUAAUUCGAUGAUACGCGAGGAACCUUACCUGGGGCUUAUAUGCACGAUGCAUAAGUGUGAAACACUUUUUCCUUCGGGACUUUGUACAAGGUGCUGCAUGGUUGUCGUCAGCUCGUGCCGUGAGGCGUCGGGUUAAGUCCCAUAACGAGCGCAACCCCUAUUGUUAGUUACCAGCGCGUAAAGGCGGGGACUCUAGCGAAACUGCCGGUGUAAACCGCGAGGAAGGUGGGGAUGACGUCAAAUCAGCACGGCC
This 1148-nucleotide ribosomal RNA is filed under the name uncultured organism. RNAcentral's name for it is "bacterial SSU rRNA". It matches the Rfam family "Bacterial small subunit ribosomal RNA", at positions 53 to 1200 of the family's 1533-position model. The record is from RNAcentral.